Molecule: ribosomal RNA, 301 nt
Filed under: uncultured bacterium
Lineage: Bacteria
Description: partial 16S ribosomal RNA
Rfam family: Bacterial small subunit ribosomal RNA
Source: RNAcentral
CAGUAGCCGCGGGAAUACGGAGGGGGCUAGCGUUGUUCGGAAUUACUGGGCGUAAAGCGCACGUAGGCGGCUUGGUAAGUUAGAGGUGAAAGCCUGGAGCUCAACUCCAGAAUUGCCUUUAAGACUGCCGAGCUAGCAGGUGAGAGAGGUAAGUGGAAUUCCGAGUGUAGAGGUGAAAUUCGUAGAUAUUCGGAGGAACACCAGUGGCGAAGGCGGCUCACUGGUCCAUUACUGACGCUGAGGUGCGAAAGCGUGGGGAGCAAACAGGAUUAGAUACCCCUGUAGUCCCUGUCUCUUAUAU